ACAUAAUGAUGCACUGUUUCAGCGAGCGCAAUUAAAAGCCCAUGUUUUAACCCAUAGCCAAGAGAUUGAACCUCAACUUUUAUCCAGAAAGAAUGUUAUGAUCGCUGCCCAUGGAAACUCCCUGAGAUCCAUUAUCUUAUAUCUCGACAAGUUAACUUCCCAAGAGAUUUCUGUUAGCAGAAGAAUUGAAGCUACCAAAUUUGCCCAAUUAUGGAAUGAAAUUAUUUGCAUUUUUUGUGAGGAAGAUGUCAUUACUGAUAGGCAAGGCCUCAAAGAAAAUGUCUUUACUUGCUCUUACUUGGCUUCUAUUACUUUCUCCUUGAUCCUUAUGUUUAAUUAUAUUCCAGAAAUUGAUCGUUUCUAUUUUAUGCAUCUAUCUGUGGAUUGACCUCUUCUUGUUAUUUUAUUUUACUUUUUAAGGAAAAACAAUAAUAGUUAUGUAGAACAAUACCAUAUGGAAUUAUGUUUGGAACUAUUGACAUUGAGAAUUUUUUUAUAUAUAGAGUUAUGUCUUAUAUU
This is a non-coding RNA of Arachis ipaensis, 519 nucleotides long. Lineage: Eukaryota; Viridiplantae; Streptophyta; Magnoliopsida; Fabales; Fabaceae. The record is from RefSeq and is a predicted model, not a curated record.